This 67-nucleotide transfer RNA is filed under the name Apaloderma vittatum (bar-tailed trogon). Lineage: Eukaryota; Metazoa; Chordata; Aves; Trogoniformes; Trogonidae. The record is from Rfam by way of RNAcentral.
UAGCUCAGUGGUUUGAGCGCGGUCCUGACAACAAUAAGGACACCGAGAUCGCGGGUUCAAUUCCCGC